Molecule: long non-coding RNA, 227 nt
Organism: Danio aesculapii
Lineage: Eukaryota; Metazoa; Chordata; Actinopteri; Cypriniformes; Danionidae
Exons: 3
Source: RefSeq, a predicted model, not a curated record
AUUGCACAUUUGUCGAGUCGGCUCGGCUGAAAUGGACCAACAAAUCAAGAGGAAGAAGCUGUUGUGGUUUGAAAUUUGUAGCGCUAAGGAUUGCGAGCGCGAGUGGCCUGCAAGAUAUUUGAGUGUGGCUGUGUAAAAUGAGCAGUCUAGCAGUUUUAAUACGUAACCAUCAAGCGUGAUUGUGUACUGAAGAUCUACCUCAUUUGAAGAGUCUGUGCAUCUACCUC